AUGUUGGAAAUCAUAAGUAACAUCCACCAGGAAAAUGACAAUAAAGAUUGCUGGCAAUUUCUCUGGAAAGGAAACAAAUACUCCAACAGAAAGAUUUAUCUGGAACUUAUUGGAAACCCACCAAAGGCAGCACCACCAUUUCAAUGGAUUUGGAAAUCAUGCAACCUGCCCAAACAAAAAAAUUUCUUCUGGUUGCUACUGCUUGAUAGAUUAAAUACUAGAGAUCUACUAAUCAGGAAGAAUUUUCAAAUACAAAACAGAAGAUGUGUUCUAUGUGAUGAUGAACCCAAUGAAUACCUACAACAGCUCUUUUUUGUAUGUGACUUCAGCACAAAUUUCUGGGCUGCAAUAGGUAUGGAAUGGAAUACAGAUCUUAAUACUAUUGAAAUGCUAAUGGAGGGCAAAAGCAGAGAUAAUGGCCAAGGAUUUAAGGAAAAGAUGAUAGCAGGGUGUUGGAGCAUACGGAAGCACAGGAAUGGCAUUAUCUUUGACAACAAUAACAGAAGUAUGACUCACUGCUUAUCAAGUUUCAAAGAGCAUUUUAGCACCAUUAUCAAGAAAGCAAGACCUAGUUUAAAGGAUGGGAUGCAAUCCUGGUUGGAUACAUUGUAA
RNAcentral lists this ribosomal RNA (612 nucleotides) under Triticum aestivum (bread wheat). RNAcentral describes it as "partial small subunit ribosomal RNA". Lineage: Eukaryota; Viridiplantae; Streptophyta; Magnoliopsida; Poales; Poaceae. The record is from RNAcentral.